This 391-nucleotide ribosomal RNA is filed under the name uncultured Chrysophyceae. Its description in RNAcentral is "partial small subunit ribosomal RNA". It matches the Rfam family "Eukaryotic small subunit ribosomal RNA", at positions 30 to 429 of the family's 1831-position model. Lineage: Eukaryota; Chrysophyceae. The record is from RNAcentral.
GCUUGUCUCAAAGAUUAAGCCAUGCAUGUCUAAGUAUAAACAAAUCUAUACUGUGAAACUGCGAAUGGCUCAUUAUAUCAGUUAUAGUUUAUUUGAAGGUCCUUGCUACUUGGAUAACCGUAGUAAUUCUAGAGCUAAUACAUGCAUCAAACCCCGACUUUUGGAAGGGGUGUAUUUAUUAGAUGGAAACCAAUGCGGGGCAACCCGGUAAAUGGUGAUUCAUAAUAACUUUCGGAUCGGUCUUCGGAUCGAUGCUUCAUUCAAGUUUCUGCCCUAUCAGCUUUGGAUGGUAGGGUAUUGGCCUACCAUGGCUUUAACGGGUAACGGAGAAUUAGGGUUCGAUUCCGGAGAGGGAGCCUGAGAAAUGGCUACCACAUCCAAGGAAGGCAGC